RNAcentral lists this non-coding RNA (24 nucleotides) under Arabidopsis thaliana (thale cress). The record is from RNAcentral. Lineage: Eukaryota; Viridiplantae; Streptophyta; Magnoliopsida; Brassicales; Brassicaceae.
ACCAGCCAUAGUUGACCCAAACUG